Molecule: long non-coding RNA, 413 nt
Organism: Lolium perenne
Lineage: Eukaryota; Viridiplantae; Streptophyta; Magnoliopsida; Poales; Poaceae
Source: RefSeq, a predicted model, not a curated record
AACAGGUAACAUUCAAAUAUUCUUCUUGGAAAAGCAUAGUUUUAAGUAUGAUUGCAACCAUUUUAUAUUUGGUUUAUGCAACAAGAGAGGUUAUUGCUUCUUUUCGCACAGGCAAAUGAUCUUUAUAAGGUUCAAAGAUACUACUUAACAAAGGCUAAACUUAUUAUUAGCCGCAGAGUAACUUAGGUACUGACUACUAAGAUUAUUACAUCGUCAGGAGCAUGCUGUAAUGAAACCUGCUGCACUUUUGUGCAACAUCAACACACGAAGUUCUGCAUGUUUUCAUAGUAACAGCUAAAUCCAUCCAGAGGAAUAGAUUGCCCUAGAUUGUACCAGAAGUUUCUUCACCCCAUUUUUAACCCAGCAGGAAGUCUGCAGGCUGCACUUUUGCUACACACCCGAACUUGAAUGUA